RNAcentral lists this ribosomal RNA (703 nucleotides) under uncultured eukaryote. RNAcentral's name for it is "bacterial SSU rRNA". It matches the Rfam family "Eukaryotic small subunit ribosomal RNA", at positions 675 to 1426 of the family's 1831-position model. The record is from RNAcentral.
GUGUGCGUCACGUGCAGUCAUCCUCUUGAGAACUGUCCACACCUUCACUGGCUGUGGGCAGGUAUCAGAAUUUUACUUUGAAAAAAUUAGAGUGUUUCAGGCAGGCAAUUGCCCGAAUACAUUAAGCAUGGAAUAAUGGAAUAGGACUUCUCCCAUUUUGUUGGUUAUGGUGAGUAUGAUAAUAAGGGACAGUUGGGGGCAUUAGUAUUUAAUGUCAGAGGUGAAAUUCUUGGAUUUAUUAAAGACUAACUAAUGCGAAAGCAUUUGCCAAGGAUGUUUUCAUUGAUCUAGAACGAAAGUUAGGGGAUCAAAGACGAUCAGAACCGUGUAGUCUUAACUAUAACUAUACCGACUAGGGAUUGGAAGGACCUCAAGCCUUUUCAGCACCUAAUGAGAAAUCAAAGUCUCUGGGUUCUGGGGGGAGUAUGGUCGCAAGGCUGAAACUUAAAGGAAUUGACGGAAGGGCACACCAGGAGUGGAGCCUGCGGCUUAAUUUGACUCAACACGGGGAAACUUACCAGGUCAAGACAUGGUUAGGAUUGACAGAUUGAGAGCUCUUUCUUGAUUCUAUGGGUAGUGGUGCAUGGCCGUUCUUAGUUGGUGGAGUGAUUUGUCUGGUUAAUUCCGUUAACGAACGAGACCUUAACCUGCUAACUAGUCACCGGCAUUACAAUGUCGGUCGACUUCUUAGAGGGACUAUGUG